RNAcentral lists this long non-coding RNA (2696 nucleotides) under Homo sapiens (human). RNAcentral's name for it is "HSALNT0357088". The record is from RNAcentral. Lineage: Eukaryota; Metazoa; Chordata; Mammalia; Primates; Hominidae.
UAAUUUGUGACAGGGUCUUGCUGUCCACUCCAGGCUGGAGUGCAGUGGUGCAAUCUCAGCUUACUACGGCCUCCACCUCCUGGGCUCAAGCAAUCCUCCCACCUCAGCCUCCUGAGUAGCUGAGACUACAGACAUGUCCUGCCAUACCCAGUCUUUUUUUUUUUCCAUUUUUUGUAGCGACAGGAUCUUGCUGUUUCCCGAACUCAUCUAGAACACCUGGGCUGAAGCAACCCUCCCUCCUCAGCCUCCCAAAGCACUUGGAUUACAGGCUUGAGCCACUGUGCCUGGCCAGGAAUAAAUUUCUAACCCAUCCCAUGACUCCCAGCAGAAGGAAAGUCUAAAUUUAGCCAUAGUUUCAGAAACAAUGCCCUUACAUGACGUGAAAUAAACAGGUCUUUAAGAGAGAGGUGCCAGCUCCUCGUUCGUGGAUGCAUUUGUCCACCUAGGAAUAGACACACGCUGCACAUUUCCUGCAUGCUGGGCUCUGUAAGGAGGAAGGGAGAGGCCCCUGCUUGGAGAAGCUUUCCAUCCAACAGAUGUGGAUGCUACCUAUGCCACCAGUGUCAAACAUAACUUCAGGAUCACAGAAGAGGCCGAGAGUGCUAAAAGGUCACGCUGGAAUGAAGCAUAUGAGGUGAGAACAUAGCAAGAAGCUACCAUCUGUGCACCAGGAAAUGGGCCCUCACAAGACAUCAAAUCUGCCAGCCACCUCAAUGGUGGGCUUUCCAGCCUCCAGAACUGUGAGAAAUAAAUUUCUGUUUUUAUAAGCCACCUGGUUUAUGGUAUUUUGUUACAGCAACCUAAACAGACUAAGACAAUUGGCAAGAUCAGAUGUAUUUGGCAAAGAUUUGCAUAGACUAGAGUCCCGCUGUGUGGCUGGAGCAAGGGAAGCUUGCGCUGUGCCUCAGGUUGAUCCAGUCCUUACCUUGUGGCCUUGCCCGAUCCUCACAGCACCCCUCGGUGGUGAGAAUGAUUAUCUCCAUUCUAUGGAUGAGGAUAUGGAUAACCAGAGAGGUUAAGUGAACAGCCUCAGAUCACACAGCCAAUUCAAGUCAGGGCUGCUGCAGAGAGCCUGAAACAGGGGGAUCCUGGGAGGGAAGGAAGAGCAUGCAUCCUCUCACCCAAAACAGAUGUCUGGCUGAGUUCCAAAAGCAAAAGUACUCUGAGUGGGUCCCACCCCUGAUGGGGAAGGCAGCCCCCUGGCCACCAGCCUGGGGAGGCCACACAGUUGCUGCUAUCCCAUGGGCAGCUGGCCCCUUCCUCCCACAAACAGCAGCACCUGCUCACCAGAUCACCAGGCAGAGGCAAGAUGAAUGUUCGCAGCACCACGUCCUGCUGAAGCUCUACACAAACACAGCACCCAUGGCAACCAAACAGAGGGCAAACACAGGAGCAGGAAUGCCGCUGUGAGAACAAGGCCCAGGAGUGACAGCCACGAGCCACCCACUUUAUGGGCACUUACUAAGUGCCAGGCGCCACAUCAAGGAUUAAAUACCUUAUUUAAUCAUCGAUGCAGCCUGAUGAGGAAUGUGCCAUUGCUGCCCGCUUUAACAACAACGAAACAGACAUGAGCAGAGUUGAUGGAAGCUGUGUAAGGAGAGAACCAAAGGCUCUGUCUGAGCCCGGGUGUCUGAUGCCACAACCCAGCCACAAUCUCCAUGCUACCAUUUCCCCUGACAGACACCGAAGUAACACAGCCCCUCGGGAGAGCUGGGCCCCCAAGUUAGGGACAGGUAAAUGGCGACACAGAAUAUAAGCUCCUCCAAGGCAGGAAUUUUGUGUUUUGCUCAUUGAUGGGAAGCAAGCUUCUACAAUAGUGCCAGGCAGGUGGAUGACUUUGAAUAAGUAUUUGUUGGCCAGGGGCGGUGGCUCACACUUGAAAUCCUUGCACUUUGGGAGGCUGAGGCAGGUGGGUUGCUUGAGCCCAGGGGAUUGAGACCAGCCUGGGCAGCAUGGUGAAACCCUGUCUCUACAAAAAAUACACACAAAAAAAUUAACCAAGCAUGGUGGCGGUUGCCUGUAGUCCCAGCUGCUUGGGAGUCUGAGGUGGGAGAUCUCCUGAGCCCGGGAGGUCAUGGAUGUGGUGGGCCAUGAUCACGUCACUGCACUCCAGCCUAGGUGACAAAGACCCUGUCUUAAAACAAAAUUGUAUUUGCUAAGGAAAAUCAAGAUCCAGAAAGCCACCCUGAGAUGUAAACGCUCAAUUGGUCAAGUGACUUGAUCUCACACAUUAGCCUCGCAGUUUGAAAUUCAGAUUUUUCCUUACUAAGGCCUAAUAGUAAAGUCCCUUAAAAAUGUCAUUUUAAAUAUAGUAUAAUUGGUCAAGGAACCACAUCUUUAGCUCUGUUCUUAUUCCACACGGGAGAAGGUUAGGGGAGGAAAGUGACACAUUUAUUGUCCUAGAAAGCCGCUGGCCCGAGAAGGACUUUGACCCCAGCACCUUCCUCAGCCAGCCACACAGGCUCACCCUGGGUCAUCUCAUUUAAUAUUCAAUAAUGCAACCCCUGCUUUAAUGACAUGGAAUUUUGGGUUCUCAUUUACUGUAUGAUGGUGGGAUUUUCCAUGUCGCCAUGUGUCGCAGAUGUUUCGUUUCCAUGUAAACAAUCACCCACAUAUUGCAUCUACUCAUGACAAAGCCAGUGGCCCUCAGAGGCUUUCCAUGGUUUCUGCCCACAGCCCCAGGGGUCAGCCCUGAC